GUGCUUGCUUCAGCAGCAUAUAUACUAAAAUUGGAAUAAUAUAGAGAUUAGCAUGGCCCCUGUGCAAGGAUGACAUGCAAAUUCAUGAAGCAUUCCACAUUUUU
Gorilla gorilla gorilla (western lowland gorilla) is the source of this 104-nucleotide small nuclear RNA. Lineage: Eukaryota; Metazoa; Chordata; Mammalia; Primates; Hominidae. The record is from Ensembl.